AUACGGAGGGUGCAAGCGUUAAUCGGAAUCACUGGGCGUAAAGCGCACGUAGGCGGCUUGGUAAGUCAGGGGUGAAAUCCCACAGCCCAACUGUGGAACUGCCUUUGAUACUGCCAGGCUUGAGUACCGGAGAGGGUGGCGGAAUUCCGGGUGUAGGAGUGAAAUCCGUAGAUAUCUGGAGGAACACCGGUGGCGAAGGCGGCCACCUGGACGGUAACUGACGCUGAGGUGCGAAAGCGUGGGUAGC
RNAcentral lists this ribosomal RNA (247 nucleotides) under uncultured bacterium. RNAcentral describes it as "partial 16S ribosomal RNA". It matches the Rfam family "Bacterial small subunit ribosomal RNA", at positions 523 to 769 of the family's 1533-position model. The record is from RNAcentral.